This 280-nucleotide ribosomal RNA is filed under the name Bacteroides stercoris ATCC 43183. RNAcentral describes it as "partial 16S ribosomal RNA". It matches the Rfam family "Bacterial small subunit ribosomal RNA", at positions 494 to 776 of the family's 1533-position model. Lineage: Bacteria; Pseudomonadati; Bacteroidota; Bacteroidia; Bacteroidales; Bacteroidaceae. The record is from RNAcentral.
UUGGUAAUUGUGCAGCCGCCGCGGUAAUACGGAGGAUCCGAGCGUUAUCCGGAUUUAUUGGGUUUAAAGGGAGCGUAGGCGGGUUGUUAAGUCAGUUGUGAAAGUUUGCGGCUCAACCGUAAAAUUGCAGUUGAUACUGGCGACCUUGAGUGCAACAGAGGUAGGCGGAAUUCGUGGUGUAGCGGUGAAAUGCUUAGAUAUCACGAAGAACUCCGAUUGCGAAGGCAGCUUACUGGAUUGUAACUGACGCUGAUGCUCGAAAGUGUGGGUAUCAAACAGG